This 519-nucleotide long non-coding RNA is filed under the name Pan troglodytes (chimpanzee). RNAcentral's name for it is "long non-coding RNA NONPTRT001576". Lineage: Eukaryota; Metazoa; Chordata; Mammalia; Primates; Hominidae. The record is from RNAcentral.
GAAUUGUGUCACUCCCAUUGAGCAGGUGUGGGGGCCUCUCCCACAUGGUCCAGGUCCACCACUCUGUCAAAGGUCGCACAGCCCAGACAAAAACAGCACACAGCAGUGUGUGAAUGAGCCGGGCUUUCUCCUUCCCUCCACGUAAUAAAAGGUGCCUGAGGUUGUUGAAACACAGUCCAUUUCUCCUGGGAAUGACAAGAAUUUGAGGGAUGCUGACUUUCAAGGAAUACUGCAUGACAGGCAUCAAGAUAAACCUGAUGAAGAAAACAUAGGCCAGAAUCUCGGAAUCGGGAGCAAAGUAAUACAGCUUCGGGGACAGGCACGUAAUGAGGUCAUGAUGUAGCAGACUCCCUGCAGGACUGGCGGCCCCUGUUCCCUGGGCUGUUCUGGCUCUUUCAGAACCUGACCCUGGAACAGGACUGAGCAGGUGCCUGUGUGCACAGAAGAUCUUGCGUGAGUCCUCUGGUACCAUGUUUGCUGCACGAAUGUCUGAGACACCUCACAGUCGCUUGGUUCAGC